RNAcentral lists this ribosomal RNA (577 nucleotides) under uncultured bacterium. Its description in RNAcentral is "bacterial SSU rRNA". It matches the Rfam family "Bacterial small subunit ribosomal RNA", at positions 214 to 783 of the family's 1533-position model. The record is from RNAcentral.
GGCGCGAUUGGAUGAGCCCACGUCGGAUUAGCUAGUUGGCGGGGUAAAGGCCCACCAAGGCGACGAUCCGUAGCUGGUCUGAGAGGAUGAUCAGCCACACUGGAACUGAGACACGGUCCAGACUCCUACGGGAGGCAGCAGUAGGGAAUAUUGGACAAUGGGCGCAAGCCUGAUCCAGCCAUGCCGCGUGAGUGAAGAAGGCCCUCGGGUUGUAAAGCUCUUUUGUCCGGAAAGAAAAGCGCCGGGUUAAUACCCUGGUGUCCUGACGGUACCGGAAGAAUAAGCACCGGCUAACUUCGUGCCAGCAGCCGCGGUAAUACGAAGGGUGCAAGCGUUACUCGGAAUCACCGGGCGUAAAGCGUGCGUAGGUGGUUCGUUAAGUCCGAUGUGAAAGCCCUGGGCUCAACCUGGGAAUGGCAUUGGAUACUGGCGGGCUAGAGUGCGGUAGAGGGUAGUGGAAUUCCCGGUGUAGCAGUGAAAUGCGUAGAGAUCGGGAGGAACAUCCGUGGCGAAGGCGACUACCUGGACCAGCACUGACACUGAGGCACGAAAGCGUGGGGAGCAAACAGGAUUAGAU